AGGAAGAGAAGCAAGGCGGAGAGUGAGUCUCAAUGAGCUGCUCUGCCGAGGACAGUUCUAGAGACCGCUGACUUAAAGAGACCGGCAGCACGUGGAAUAAUUGUAGUACUGUUCCUAUAAAGCUUUCACUCUCAGGAGGGUUGUAAAAAAAACAAUCCUUCUCAUCCAAAUUAGGAAUAGUGUGGAAACUGGAGGAAUUGUAUUUGGUAACAAAUGACUCAUUUAUGCCAAGGAAUUAAAACAUUUUUAGCCAUGGUAAGUGAUUAUUUUCAUACCAAACAGCAGCCUCUCAGUUGCCGAGUCAACGCUAGCCCAUCGCAUAACCUCCGUCAACUGAGAAAAUGCACCCCGUCCUCCAGAAGGGUGCAGCACGACACCUUGGCACAGGCUUGAUUUCAGCCCUGCUUUGCCCUUCAAGGGCACCCUUGUCUGAUGAACAAUGAGCACAACUGUCCACAGGAGGGCCUGACUCUGUGGGGACGUAAGGGCUGAAGUCUCCUCACUGGCUGACAAGACUCAUUAGAUACCAUCAGAUGAGCUGAUGUGUGUUACAUGGUGACGCGGCGAGACACAUGUAGAAUGAAAUACAACCCGAGCGCCGGUGUAAAAGAAAAUUCCUCCUCACCCAAGCUGGGACAGAUUAGUAUGUAUUAGGUAUUCUACUUUACAUACUUUGCUUUGAACACUCAUUAUUGUGUAAACACUUCUGGACCAACAAAUCUCUGCAUCUGGCAAAGACAAGGUUCGGGGAACUACACGUAGAUUCAGCGACUUUGUCCUGAGGCCUUUUUGGUCCACUGCAGCAAGGCACGACCGUUCUCAAAUUUAAUUCCACAACCUGUCCACCCAAAAGAGAAGGAACUCAAGAAGUGACAUCGUACCUUCGGAGAAAAAAAACGCAAGCUGGGCCACAGAGCCGAAAACACCACAACCACAAAAACAAACUAAACCAUCACAUUCAUAAACAAGGACUCAAUGUUCUUUUUAAUGCUUAAGGAAUGAAUUUCCAAAGAUCAGGACGGGCAUGUAAGUGGCGUGGGACAGGCAGGAAGCCUUAUCACCUCCCAGAAAGACCAGGGUGUGCACCCAGCUGCUGGCCAGCGUCUUCUAUGCAUCUGUCUUUGCAAAGCAGCUGAUGCAUCCUUUUUAAUGGUACUUGAUGCUAACGUCAUCAACCGGGAAGAAGGCAGCAGUUGCUCCAUACUCUGGACACAUGUUUGCAAUUGUAGCUCGGUCAGCAAUGGACAACUGGGGUACGCCUGGCCCGAAAAACUCCACAAAUUUGCCCACUACCCCCACCUGGCGCAGGUGCUGAGCAGCAGAACAAGAAAAAAGCUUGAGACUCAACAGCCCAUCUUUAAAAUGCAGAGCUAGCACUUUGUAAUUCUUACAAACUAGCCUGACAUGCCAUCAGCCAGGGCUGGGGCCUCCGCGGCUCACCUGGCCCUGCACAAAGCCAAUCUCACCCGCAGUGUGGACAGCCACACCGACAGGCUCUUCAGGUUACGGAGGCUUCUGCUAAAUUCUGUGGGCAAGUCCUACAUCAUUCUACAUUUGAAGAACAAUGCACAGACCUCUGUGAAAAGCUACAGUAUUCAAAUAAAUGCCAUUCCAAAUUCCAUAGGGAUUAAAUCAAAGAGAAACAUUUUUUGGACUUUAGCAGGAUACUAGUUAUCCCUAACACUCCAGGCCUCCUAACUAUACAACCAGAAAAAACUAUGGUUGUGAUAAUAAAAAAAUAUCACUUUUCUAAUAAUCUUGCAAAAUGAAACUGCUCUCCUUUUGCAGAGCAAGCAAAUCAUACACACACAAAGAAAAGAUUAUUUCUUGCAAAAGCUAAAGAAAAAGGAAAAAAAAAGUACUAUUUCAGCUUGGAGAAACAUCUGUUACAAUAAUGUAACUUCGAAUACAGAGAAGGGAAUUUAAAAAGUCAGACAUUAAAGUCAUAGAAACAGUUUGUUAUUUACACAUAAAGAAGAACCAUGUGGAAAAAUGUAGUCAAAGUAUAAACACGCUUGGGAAUGAGUCUUACAACCUUGGGAUAGCGCUUAUUUCUAGGAAUGCGGAGGAUGGCCUUAGCCAUAAAUAUUUCAUUUUAUUUCUUAAAAAACAUACCCACAGGGAGAGCUCUGAAGCAAAUGUGGCAAAAUGUUACCAUCUGUUAAGUCUAGGUGGUGGUGCAUAUGAAUGCCAUUUUAACUUCUGUGUAUUUGAACUCUUUCACACUUUCAGAAUAUUUUUUUGAAGAAAAGGAGCCAUGCAGCGGAGGAAGAGUAAAAUGGACAUUAAUUGUCUAAAACUUAACCACAGAACUCUCCCCUUAUCUCAUCUCUUUUUAAUAAUCAUCAACGUCCU
Callorhinus ursinus (northern fur seal) is the source of this 2355-nucleotide non-coding RNA. NCBI's taxonomy places the organism in Eukaryota, Metazoa, Chordata, Mammalia, Carnivora, Otariidae. The record is from RefSeq and is a predicted model, not a curated record.